Molecule: long non-coding RNA, 1680 nt
Organism: Rhododendron vialii
Lineage: Eukaryota; Viridiplantae; Streptophyta; Magnoliopsida; Ericales; Ericaceae
Exons: 3
Source: RefSeq, a predicted model, not a curated record
UAAGCCAUUAAACACCAUUCCACAACCUAUAAAAGCAAGAACUGAAUGAAAGAGGGUUCCCUCACUAUACAAAUAAUCUGGUUUUGUCUUCUCCGAGCCGUCGUCAUAUUUUAGGGUUCAUUUCCAUGCAAUGAUAGGUCUAGUUCUUUCCUUUCCGUUAAUGAGUUGAGAGCCUUUGUUUCCAAUUUUACUUGGAGCAAAACUAUCUCAAUUUAAAGUCAGAGGAGGGGAAUAGCAGCAGGCCCGACCCUUCCCUGCUUUACGUGUUGGGUUGCUCUCUCUUCUCAAAUAGUGACAACUAUAUCCACCUUGGCUACCUUUUGUAUUUGGAGAACCUUUCUAGGGUCUCGCUCUACGACUGGAGAGGUGCUGCUUUGGCCACCUUGUAUGCAUUUAUGGGCUCAGUUUUCCGGGGAGAGCACCUCAACGUUGCAGCGUUGCUGGCUGGCUAGUGGAGGGUUUGGAAGGCCCCCCAAUGUUCCUCCAGGAACUUGCAUAAAAGGAACUACCCGUUCAGAAGAGAGAAGACGAAGGAAAAAACAAAAGACAUAACAUCCCCGAUCUUCUGAAUCUUCUCUGAAGAGGAGGGAACAACCUAACGGUUUGAUGUCGGUUUUCCUACCCGACUCAAUGAGAAUAUAGCUUCAUAGCUCUACGACCAAGCAUAUCAUCCCCUAUCUUCGUUGCACCCUGGACGGAGAUAUAUUUCCUUUCACACGUUCGAAUGAGAAAACAGACAGCCGAAAAGGGAGGGGAAAGGAAAAAACAUAAGAGAUAUCUACUUGAUUUUAGGCUUCUCUUGCUUGGCCUAUAAUCUUUCCCGCUCUUCUUAUUUGUCGGCCUCUUCACAAAUUCGGCGACAUCACCCAAUUGAGCAUCCAUAUCAGGCUUCAUCAGCGACAUCACAAUGAUGCCGCUUGUGCUUAUUUGGAUAGCUAUGGUAGGCAUUUUGAUUGCGCUUUCUGUAAUAAUCAGUACUCCUGCAGCUUACGACACACAGAAGAUUCCCAUAGUCAUGACAGAGAUGUACGAUGCUUCCGGAAACAAGUACAGUAUCAGUGAACUCCUAAAUGGUGGUCGAAUAAUUUUAAAUGUGAAUGCAUACGGGGAGUACUCCGUCACUCGCUUCACCACAUUUAGAAUUGCCUCAUAUGCCUUAUUGUUCUCAGCAAUAUCAACGGGCUUGGUGCAAGUACUAACGAAGUAUGGAAGGUAUUAUUAGUUCAUCUGUCCACUCGCCAGAUGUCCCACCGCACCUGGCAUAGUGGUCAAAUCUCUGUUGUCAUGGCUUCUCUCGCUCAUGGCUGUUUUUUGGCUCUUCCUGGCCGUUUCUCUUUCCUAGCUUCUCCUGGUUUCUCUUGGCUUUGCUUGGCGUGGCUGCUCCUGGUUUCUUUUUAAUUGGCUUGGUUGUUCUUGGUUUCUCGUGGCUUUUUCAAACUCAAGUUAGUAGAUCUACUUGAGUUUGAAGGGGGAUGUUAACAUAAUAUUGAGAAAUAUUAUGUUACCAUGUUUUGUAGGUUUUAUUAUUCAUGUUUCCAAGUUGGACUGAUUUCUUUAUAAUGCAUGUUUCCUAUUUAGUUUAUAUUUCGUAGUGACCAAGAACAUUGUAGCCUAUAUAAAGGCAUGCUAGGGUUAUAUUUCAUACAUAAUCAAUAAUACAUCAUUCCGCUUUUAUUCACA